AUGGGCGGCCAUCGUAGGCGGGGGCUGGGUGCAGGGGAUGGAUGCCGACGAGCAGCUCGUCCAUGCCGUCCCCCACCAUGUGUUCAGCAAGGUGAUGCGGUCAAGGGACUCUCACCGGCUGGAUCCCAUGGCCUUGAUCUGUUCCUUCAGUUGGGGAACAACUCGUCAUCAGCACCGCUGGAAAAGGCAUGGAAACUUGGCGUGCUCGUCCUCGGCGACGAGGGAACUGGAAGGAGGCCGACAACAGGUGAAGCACCGGCGGCGGCGCGAAAGAUGCAGCGGAUCCUGCCGAUCUCGUACGAUUUGGCAAUGGCGGAGCGAGGACGGGCACCGCGGAGAGGACGGAUGCGGGCUCGGCGGCGGCGGAGGGAACCCUCCUCUUCUCGUGCGGGGCAGCAAUGCCAAGACCAUGGUGUCCUCUAG
This 423-nucleotide ribosomal RNA is filed under the name Triticum aestivum (bread wheat). RNAcentral's name for it is "partial small subunit ribosomal RNA". Lineage: Eukaryota; Viridiplantae; Streptophyta; Magnoliopsida; Poales; Poaceae. The record is from RNAcentral.